This 320-nucleotide ribosomal RNA is filed under the name uncultured Prevotella sp. RNAcentral describes it as "partial 16S ribosomal RNA". The record is from RNAcentral. Lineage: Bacteria; Pseudomonadati; Bacteroidota; Bacteroidia; Bacteroidales; Prevotellaceae.
GGAGUUUGGUCCGUGUCUCAGUACCAAUGUGGGGGACCUUCCUCUCAGAACCCCUACUGAUCGUCGCCUCGGUGGGCCGUUACCCCGCCGACAAGCUAAUCAGACGCAUCCCCAUCCCUUAGCGAUAAAUCUUUGGUAUUCGUCAGAUGUCCUCAAAAUACAACAUAGAGUAUUAAUCCGACUUUCGCCGGGCUGUGCCCUACUACGGGGAAGGUUGGAUACGCGUUACUCACCCGUGCGCCGGUCGCCAUCACAGAUAGCAAGCUACCUGCAUGCUGCCCCUCGACUUGCAUGUGUUAAGCCUGUAGCUAGCGUUCAUC